GUUUGCAUCUGUGGAGGAAAUGAAGUGAAGUAAACAACAGAUAGAAACAGGCUUUCUUUGAAGCCCCCCUUGUUGGGACCUGGGAAAGAUGAAUUGAGAGUCUGACAAUUUAAAGCUCUGACAGAAAUAUUUACUGCUGGCUACGAUUUAUUUUUUUCUGAAGGCUGCUACCUGUGAGGUUUCAUCUGCAUAGUAAGACCCCUUUGCUAGUUGCUAACUUUGGAGGAAGCCAGCUGCCAUGUCACAAAAAGAUUCAGGAAGCCAUGUGGAGAGGCCCACAUCAUGAGGAACUGAGGUCUUUGCCAAUUACCAGCAAGGAAAUGAGGCCUCCUGCCAACAGCCACGUGAGUAUCCUACCUUGGAAAUGGACCCUCUAACUUCAAUCAGCCUUCAAAUAACUGCAGCCCCAGUUGAUGGCUUGACUGCAACCUUAGGAGAAACCCUGAGCCAAAAACAUUGAGGAAAAACACCCCCAGAUUCCUAUCAGAAAUUGUGUAAGAUAAUAAAUGUUUGUUGUUUUAA
RNAcentral lists this long non-coding RNA (522 nucleotides) under Homo sapiens (human). Its description in RNAcentral is "HSALNT0359232". The record is from RNAcentral. Lineage: Eukaryota; Metazoa; Chordata; Mammalia; Primates; Hominidae.